GACGGAAGGUGCAAGCGUUGCUCGGAAUCACUGGGCGUAAAGGGCGCGUAGGCGGCUUGGUCAGUCCCGUGUGAAAUCCCUCGGCUCAACUGAGGAACUGCACGGGAAACUGCCUGGCUUGAGUUCGGGAGAGGGAAGCGGAAUUCCGGGUGUAGCGGUGAAAUGCGUAGAUAUCCGGAGGAACACCGGUGGCGAAGGCGGCUUCCUGGACCGACACUGACGCUGAGGCGCGAAAGCUAGGGGAGCAAACGGG
RNAcentral lists this ribosomal RNA (253 nucleotides) under uncultured bacterium. Its description in RNAcentral is "partial 16S ribosomal RNA". It matches the Rfam family "Bacterial small subunit ribosomal RNA", at positions 524 to 776 of the family's 1533-position model. The record is from RNAcentral.